RNAcentral lists this transfer RNA (73 nucleotides) under Trialeurodes vaporariorum (greenhouse whitefly). Its description in RNAcentral is "tRNA-Gly for anticodon GCC". It matches the Rfam family "tRNA". Rfam says of the family: Transfer RNA (tRNA) molecules are approximately 80 nucleotides in length. Their secondary structure includes four short double-helical elements and three loops (D, anti-codon, and T loops). The record is from RNAcentral. Lineage: Eukaryota; Metazoa; Arthropoda; Insecta; Hemiptera; Aleyrodidae.
GCCUCGGUGGCUUGGUGGUCAGGACACCUGACUGCCAAUCCAUAGGUCCCGGGUUCAAAUCCCGGUAGUGGCA